UUUAAGUUUAGUUAUAGAUUUUUAUGUACAAGACUGUCCGUCUUAUUUAGAAUUUUUUAUGAUAUUUUUAUUAUUAUUAGAUGAUAAAAUAUGGAUAGUAAUUUAUGCGUGACUUAUUUUUUAAAUUUUUUUAUAAUUUUUAAAUAAGACAGACAAACGUUGGACACGAAAACCCACAACUGCACUUUAA
Non-coding RNA from Oryza glumipatula, 190 nucleotides. The record is from Rfam. NCBI's taxonomy places the organism in Eukaryota, Viridiplantae, Streptophyta, Magnoliopsida, Poales, Poaceae.